RNAcentral lists this ribosomal RNA (253 nucleotides) under uncultured bacterium. RNAcentral describes it as "partial 16S ribosomal RNA". It matches the Rfam family "Bacterial small subunit ribosomal RNA", at positions 524 to 776 of the family's 1533-position model. The record is from RNAcentral.
GACAGAGGGUGCAAACGUUGCUCGGAAUUACUGGGCGUAAAGGGCUCGUAGGCGGCCAACUAAGUCGGAUGUGAAAUCCCCAGGCUCAACCUGGGAACUGCAUCCGAUACUGGAUGGCUUGAAUUCGGGAGAGGGAUGCAGAAUUCCAGGUGUAGCGGUGAAAUGCGUAGAUAUCUGGAGGAAUACCGGUGGCGAAGGCGGCAUCCUGGACCGACAUUGACGCUGAGGAGCGAAAGCUAGGGGAGCAAACGGG